UCGAAUUACGCAAGUGGUCAAGUAAUAGC
RNAcentral lists this small RNA (29 nucleotides) under Bombyx mori (domestic silkworm). Its description in RNAcentral is "ovarian small RNA-28255". Lineage: Eukaryota; Metazoa; Arthropoda; Insecta; Lepidoptera; Bombycidae. The record is from RNAcentral.